GAACGGCAGCGCGGGGCAACCUGGCGGCGAGUGGCGAACGGGUGAGUAAUAUAUCGGAACGUACCCUGGAGUGGGGGAUAACGUAGCGAAAGUUACGCUAAUACCGCAUACGAUCUAAGGAUGAAAGCAGGGGACCGCAAGGCCUUGUGCUCCUGGAGCGGCCGAUAUCUGAUUAGCUAGUUGGUAGGGUAAAAGCCUACCAAGGCAUCGAUCAGUAGCUGGUCUGAGAGGACGACCAGCCAC
This 243-nucleotide ribosomal RNA is filed under the name Duganella margarita. RNAcentral describes it as "partial 16S ribosomal RNA". It matches the Rfam family "Bacterial small subunit ribosomal RNA", at positions 64 to 311 of the family's 1533-position model. Lineage: Bacteria; Pseudomonadati; Pseudomonadota; Betaproteobacteria; Burkholderiales; Oxalobacteraceae. The record is from RNAcentral.